This 496-nucleotide ribosomal RNA is filed under the name uncultured bacterium. Its description in RNAcentral is "partial 16S ribosomal RNA". It matches the Rfam family "Bacterial small subunit ribosomal RNA", at positions 28 to 506 of the family's 1533-position model. The record is from RNAcentral.
GAUGAACGCUGGCGGCGUGCCUAAUACAUGCAAGUCGAGCGAACGGACGAGAAGCUUGCUUCUCUGAUGUUAGCGGCGGACGGGUGAGUAACACGUGGAUAACCUACCUAUAAGACUGGGAUAACUUCGGGAAACCGGAGCUAAUACCGGAUAAUAUUUUGAACCGCAUGGUUCAAAAGUGAAAGACGGUCUUGCUGUCACUUAUAGAUGGAUCCGCGCUGCAUUAGCUAGUUGGUAAGGUAACGGCUUACCAAGGCAACGAUGCAUAGCCGACCUGAGAGGUGGAUAGGCAACAUGGGACUUGGGACACGGUCCGGACUCCAACGGGAGGCACCAGGGGGGAAUCUUCCGCAAUGGGCGAAGGCCUGACGAGGCAACGCGGGGGGAGUGAUGAAGGUCUUCGGAUCGUAAAACUCUGUUAUUGGAGAAGAACAUAUGUGUAAGUAACUGUGCACAUCUGAAGGGAACCAAAGAAGAAGGCCACGCCUAACUACUU